RNAcentral lists this ribosomal RNA (254 nucleotides) under uncultured bacterium. RNAcentral describes it as "partial 16S ribosomal RNA". It matches the Rfam family "Bacterial small subunit ribosomal RNA", at positions 524 to 776 of the family's 1533-position model. The record is from RNAcentral.
CACGUAGGGGCCAAGCGUUGUCCGGAUUCAUUGGGCGUAAAGAGCUCGUAGGCGGUUCAGUCAGUCGGGUGUGAAAUCUCCGGGCUCAACCCGGAGGGGCCACCCGAUACUGCUGUGACUCGAGUCCGGUAGGGGAGUGGGGAAUUCCUGGUGUAGCGGUGAAAUGCGCAGAUAUCAGGAGGAACACCGGUGGCGAAGGCGCCACUCUGGGCCGGUACUGACGCUGAGGAGCGAAAGCGUGGGGAGCAAACAGG